This 253-nucleotide ribosomal RNA is filed under the name uncultured bacterium. RNAcentral describes it as "partial 16S ribosomal RNA". It matches the Rfam family "Bacterial small subunit ribosomal RNA", at positions 524 to 776 of the family's 1533-position model. The record is from RNAcentral.
UACGGAGGGUGCAAGCGUUGUCCGGAAUCACUGGGCGUAAAGGGCGCGUAGGCGGCUCAUGAAGGCUGUGGUGAAAGUCCGGGGCUCAACCUCGGAUCGGCCGUGGCGACUCGUGGGCUGGAGCACUGUAGAGGCGGGUGGAAUUCCGGGUGUAGCGGUGGAAUGUGUAGAGAUCCGGAAGAACACCAGUGGCGAAGGCGGCCCGCUGGGCAGUGGCUGACGCUGAGGCGCGACAGCGUGGGGAGCAAACAGG